RNAcentral lists this ribosomal RNA (254 nucleotides) under uncultured bacterium. RNAcentral describes it as "partial 16S ribosomal RNA". It matches the Rfam family "Bacterial small subunit ribosomal RNA", at positions 524 to 776 of the family's 1533-position model. The record is from RNAcentral.
CACGUAGGGGGCGAGCGUUGUCCGGAUUUAUUGGGCGUAAAGAGCUCGUAGGCGGUUUCGUAAGUCGGAUGUGAAAACUCCAGGCUCAACUUGGAGACGCCAUUCGAUACUGCGAUGACUUGAGUCCGGUAGGGGAGUGUGGAAUUCCCGGUGUAGCGGUGAAAUGCGCAGAUAUCAGGAGGAACACCGGCGGCGAAGGCGGCACUCUGGGCCGGUACUGACGCUGAGGAGCGAAAGCGUGGGUAGCAAACAGG